RNAcentral lists this ribosomal RNA (253 nucleotides) under uncultured bacterium. RNAcentral's name for it is "partial 16S ribosomal RNA". It matches the Rfam family "Bacterial small subunit ribosomal RNA", at positions 524 to 776 of the family's 1533-position model. The record is from RNAcentral.
UACGAAGGGGGCUAGCGUUGCUCGGAAUCACUGGGCGUAAAGGGUGCGUAGGCGGGUCUUUAAGUCCGGGGUGAAAUCCUGGAGCUCAACUCCAGAGCUGCCUUUGAUACUGAAGAUCUUGAGUUCGGGAGAGGUGAGUGGAACUGCGAGUGUAGAGGUGAAAUUCGUAGAUAUUCGCAAGAACACCAGUGGCGAAGGCGGCUCACUGGCCCGAUACUGACGCUGAUGCACGAAAGCGUGGGGAGCAAACAGG